CGGAGGAGCUUGCUCUUGCCAUCGCAGAUAACGCCGAGCUCGCCAAGCAUCGUCGUGCCUCCGCCUGCCGUCGCUGCCCUCGCAACAACUCGCCCAGCAAAAAGCAGAGGUAGAAGCUUCCAUGGCGACCAUAGCCACGAUGGCCUUGCUCAAGCCCGCCAAGAUCGUGGUGCGGUCGGCGCUGCCGCCGUCCACCAGCGGCGGCGUCUCGCUACGCAGCCUGGCGCCCAAGAAGCAGAGCGCGCUGGCGGUGUCGUCGUCGCCCGCGGCGGCGGCGAUGGCGGGCGCCUUCUUCCACGCGCUGGCGUCGUCGGACGCGGCGCUGGCGGCGCAGCGGGUCGCCGACGUGGCGGCGGCGGACGCGGGCAGCGACAACCGGGGCCAGCUGCUGCUGUUCGUGGUGGCGCCCGCCAUCGGGUGGGUGCUCUACAACAUCCUGCAGCCGGCGCUGAACCAGCUCAACCGCAUGCGCAGCCAGGCGGUCAUCGCCGGCGUGGGCCUCGGCGCCGCCGCCACCGCCGCGGGGAUGGCGUGCGCGCCCGAAGCCUCGGCCGCUGUCCAGGACCUCGCCGCGCUGGCGGCCGCCGCGGCUGCCCCCGCCGACGACAACCGGGGCCUGCUGCUGCUCAUCGUCGUCGCGCCCGCCAUUGGGUGGGUUCUCUUCAACAUCCUCCAGCCCGCGCUCAACCAGCUCAACCGCAUGCGGUCCGACUGAGCGAGCUCUCUUGCCAAGCACCUGCAGUGCGUGUGCGUUCGUGUGUAUUAAAAUUAAGGAUGGUAGUAACGUGAAUCGCGGUCUGCGUGCCCUGUGUUUCGAUGCAAGUUCUUGAACAAAUGCAGUACAGCUCUUUCUUCUCCAUUUGGUUCUUGCUGUCUUGCUGACUACAUCUUCGUCUCCGAUGUCAUGUCUUGAUCAGUUUACUAUACGAAUCUUUACUCUGGUGCAUCGAGCACAGACCCGUCCGGAAUCCCUCGUCGGCGGCGAGCAGCAGCGGAGGAGCCCGGCCAUGGGUCGCUGCUGGAAAUUAUCCUGUGUAAGGGCUACGGGCCUCCGCGGACGAAAGCGCGAGUCCGGUAGUUGGGCCUCUUUUAGGCCCAGAAAACGAUCGUGCUCAAGGUUCUCAGAUUGAGCCUCUCCACCGUUCCUUCUGGAUCUGACGCUCCAGAUGACCCCGGGCCUGGACGGUAACUGAAAAACCGUAACACUCCUCGCCGGCGGUAGCACCGCCAUGUAAACGCGCUACCUGUCCAUCUUGUUCCUCCCCGCACCUCGUAUCACCGUCUCGGCGGCGCGGCACCAUCCUCGCCGGACCGGCGACCUCUCCCCUCCCGCGCGCUUCGCGCGCGCACGGCGGCCGGCUGGCAUCCUCGCGGCGGCCACCUUCGGGCUUGUUCGCUUCAGUUUAUCAGCCGGCUUAUCAGCCACCGAACAGUGUUUUUCUCUCACAACAAAUCAGCCGUUUCAACUUUUCAGCCGGCUUAUAAGUCCAGCCGAACAGGCCCUUCUACGCCGGCACCAACUUCACGGGUCGCCUGAAACGUUACCUAUCCGCCGAGCUGACUGACUUCCUCUAUGAUAUUGCUGUAAGUUCACAUAAAAAUUGGUCACUUCGUACUCGAGAAUGCGCUGAGCACAAAGCGAUCAUCAGCACGGCGUUCGCCUUGACGAGGAGGAGGGCCUUGGCCAAUGGCCAUGGUAACGGUACGUGUCGGUGGCGGAUGACGCCUCGCUACACGAGCGCUGCCUGCCCACCGACGCACGGCGUCGCCAGCGAGGGUUUCACCGAGUCAUUUUGAAGAAUGCGGGCGUCUAAAUGUUAGCAGCAUAGUUUUCGAAUUUCGAUGGACAUCCAUGCUCAGGCGCUCGCUCGCUGGCCGUGUCGCCGGCUACGAGCGCCAGCCGAAGAGCCUGCUGCCCCCGCGGCGAGCACGAGCCGAGCAAGUCCAGGAGAAAACUGCGGCGGGGCGGCUCCUCUGCUAUAACAGGCCGCAGCGAAGCGUGGGCUAAGGUGUUUGGGCCUCCUCUAGGCCCAUGAAACGCACAAGAUCCAGCCCGCAGUCUACAGAUCCAACGGUCCAGGGACCUCGACCCGGGAUGGUAAAUGAAACCCCGGCCUGGUCGCUGGACUGCUGCCCAGUGCCCGCCGCCGUGGCCGCGUGCCGGCGCGCUCCCCCUACACGGCGCCGCCGGCGUUCGUCUCCCUCCAUCGGCGUCACCAUGGACCAUGCCGUCGCGCGGAACAGCCGAGCAUGUACCAGCGCUCACCUCCGCGGCGGCGUCCGACGCGAUCGACGCCGUUGCACAGCCGUCAGCCGGCACCUCCACGUACUCCUGCGUGGCGGCCUUCGGCGUCGCUGCGAUGGUGCGGCUUGCUAGUAGUACCCAGGUGCCCCUGCGUGCUGGUCUCUGCGUGACUGCAUCGAUCGGGAUUCGAGAAGAGGACAGAGGAGGUAGGAGGCAAGGACAGUGGACGCAAACAGGGAGGCGGUCAGGGUCAAAGCUCUUGCAUGCGUGCGCCUUGACUCGCGUGCUCGGCCUUGCCCGCCUGCGCGUGGCAGCCGUCGGCGUACGCUCGCAGGCUCGCAGCUCUGCUGCUGCUUCACUUACGCUGCGCCUCUCCUCUCUUCAUCACUCUUGUCGUGCCCGAGUACAGGCUUGUGUGUGUGCAGGCGCACGCCGCCUCUCCUAACAUGGGGGUGUGGUACUGUAACCUGCACACUGCACAGCCUGCCUUUGCAACUUUUAACAACCACCUAUCGUGCGCCUGCAUUGACCCCUUCAUCAGAUCCUAGGUUAAACUUUAACCCUCUUAUUCAGACGCCAAACAAAAAAAAAACUAAAUGUAUGAGUUAAUUACGCAGGUAAUAGAUAAUUGGUGGUAGGAAUCCAUUAAUCCUGAUUAAUCCAUGUUCAACACAUUAACACACCUAGUGUUAAGUUUUAACCAAAUAGAGCCUUUGGAAUAGAAUAUGAUAAUCUCAUAUGCUGUUACCCCCUGCGGCAAUUUUUUCUUGAAUCUUAGUGCACGCAAUCAGUGUUAAAAUUUGACUAUUGAUUUGCUUCUGUGUACCAAUGGUUGGAAAUCUAUGUCUGUCUGCCUUCAUCAGCGUAUUAUUAAUAUAUAUAGGCUAGGGAUUGAGCAAGAAAUAGAAUUACAGGGGGGUGGGGGGCGAGCAAAUUAGAUCAUUGGACUUUCUUAGAUGUAAGUGGUCAGAUAAUUCAUGCAAGUUGAUCGUAAGCGCAAGGAUUUUCAGUUAAUGAUACAUCAACGCUUCAGAAGAGCUUGAGGAGCUAGGUUCUAUUUUCAAGCAAUCUAAAUGCUUUUGCCAUGAUCAUGCAUGGCGAAACCAUUUAUACAUCGUUGGUACAGUGCUUGACUUGCGAUCGUGGUUGGAUGUAUUUAGGCGCAUAGUCGUUGGUACAGUGCUUGACUUGCGAUCGUGGUUGGAUGUAUUUAGGCGACACUAUGCGGUUCCACGACAUUGGUUGAAUACCAAAUCAACUGUCCACAUAUUUUAUUUUGUCACGAUUUUCUAUCAACUGUCCACAUAUUUCAUUUUGUCACGGUUUUCUUUCUCCCAUGCUGAUUAAAUAUUUUGUUCUUGCGUCUGCCAUUUCAAAAUAAAUGGUUUCAUUUUGCAACAUGUUGUGUUCUCAUAGUUAUUUAAAGCUAUAAGUAUAAUUAUAAUUAAAAAAUUAUACAUUUUAUGGUGUAAGGUUUUUCAGUUUAUGGGGUGGGUGGCCCUAGCCACCCUUCCUGCCUUCGCCACUUUUAUGCUCUAGUUGAUUGUAAAUGCAAAGGAUUUUUAGCUGGUGAUUAAAUAAUGUUUUGGAUAAGAGGAUUGCAAACUGGUUCCACGUUCAAAGCGGUGUGGAUGGCAUGAGAGACUGAAAGAAAAUGGGAGAGAUCGAAGCUGGAGAGGUAACCUGCAUCUGGAAAAAAAAAAGUCAAAGUUAGUACAAUGCUUGAAUUGCGAUAAUGAUUGGAUAUAUUUGAGUGUGGUCGAGAUAUCAAGUCAUACCUAAUGUGUAAUUCUAUGCACCAAAUCGUAGAUCGUCCACAUAUAUUGUGUCUCGUGUCUCGUACCAUCCUACAUACUUGCAAACCUUCUGAUCUUUUUACUCACUCAUAUAGUAUAAUUUAAAUUACGAAAAAUCAUUUGAUCUCUCACUGAAACGUGCGAUUUCCCUCGCCAAUCAAAGUCCUUGACAAGUUGCAUCUACUGAUCCAACGACGAUGAUGUGAUCGUCUACCACCACAGUGACCUAUCACAUAACCCCCGUGAUGCCCUUCAAACCCUUCCCUUUCUACCCUUCCCCCAUCGAGUACGAUGGAAAGGCCGCAACGGGGGACACCGCAAUCCGGCCCACCAAUGGCCUCCCUCCACGUCAGCCAACCGCCGCCACGUCAGCAAAGGAUCGCGGAAAAGCGCCUCGCCACCCCGCUUCUCGCCGCGGGAGAUCUCCUCGCUUUCCCUCCAAACAGUCUCUCUCUUUCUCUCUCGUGCGCGACAAGGCGUCCUCGGGCGGCGUGAGGGCGCGAUGGCGAGUGGCUGCGGCGGGCGGCGGGGGCGGAAGCCGAGGGCGAGGGCGCGGGGCAAGGGGAAGAAGACCAGGUACCUCAGCCUCAGCGAUGUCCUGAUUAAGGUGGAGGCGGAGGCGGGGACGCCGCCGCGGUCGCAGGAGGAUGAGCCCGCGCCGGCGUGGGAGGAGGCGGAGGUGAAGCAGGAGGACGCCGGGGAUGGAGGCGGCCAGCAGCAGCCGCCGCAGCAGGUGGAGCCGUUCGCGCUGCACAACGAGGCAUCCACCCUGUUCGCGGCGCUGCCGGCGCCGUCGCUCUCCGACAUCCUCGGCGCCUCCGCUGGCGGCGGCGACGGCGACGAGUCGCCCUCGCCGUCCGCGUCGCCGGACGGGGGUUCCGGGGGGUCGGAGUUGCCGUGCGCCCAAGAGGAGGACCUGGCGCGGCGCGCGCUAAGGGGCAGGGAGCGUUGGGUGUACUGCAGCAGCGGCUCCUCGCCGACGGCCACCACCGCCACCACGUCGUCGUCGUCGCCGUGCUCCUCCGCGGCGAGCACGGGCGCCUCGGUGCGGUCGCUGCUGCUCAAGCUGGACUACGGGGAGAUCCUCGCCGCAUGGGCGGACCGGGGGUCGCUCUACAUCGGCGGCGGCGGCGGAGGCGCGGACAGCGACGCCGCGCCGGAGCUGGAGCUCAACGCCGUAAGUCUGUUCGCCUCCUCGCAGGCUCGCAAAGCCCCAGCCUUUCGGGGCUCCUCGUAUCGUCCGCACGGGUUUCGGAGACACGGCUGUGAUAACGGUGGCGCCGUCUGUGCAGGUGUUGGUGGAGGUGGAGCCGCCUGAGCAUGCCGCGAGUGCGCCGCCACCGCCGGCGCCGGCGGCGUUCGCGUGGACCGCGGCGGAGACGGAGGCGGCGGGGCGCGAGAGGGCGGAGAAGGUGAGGCGAUACAAGGAGAAGCGGCGGAACCGGCUGUUCGCGAAGCGGAUCCGGUACGAGGUUCGCCGGGUCAAUGCCGUCAAGCGGCCGCGGUUCAAGGUGACGACAUCAAUAUCACUUUUCCGUUGAUACGCCAUUACUGAUGAGUAAAGUAGCAUGACAUGAGCUGCCGUUUCCUCAUUCAUCACUGCACUAUUAAUACGCCAUUAAUUCAUUAUUGAUGUGCCAAGAAAUGAGUUGCUGUGAUCUAAUUUGUGGCACAAAUACUGCUCUGGAUCCAUAUUUUAACUGCAAGUUGAUCGGAAUUGGAUUUUACUGCAAGUAUAAUUUUGGAUACCUUGUGUCUUUAUUUGUGCAUGCAUAUACCUGCAGCUCAAACAGGAUGCUUGAAUUUUGCUAAUUUCAUUAUGCGAGGGGAGAACUGUGCCCAAAGCAUAGUCAUUUGAGUUCCUAUAUGAUCUUUUGUCCAAAUUUCCUAAACAGAGCUUCUGUGGGUUGCAUGGGUGCUGAAAUGGUGACCCACUUUGUCGGUCAGGAGCAAAACUAAUAGAUUGCUCAUGGUUGAUGUUCCAGAUGUUGUGAUAGCUGAACCCCAUAAAAAUAAUUUCCUGCCUAGUUCUAAUACUGAAUUGGUUCACUCAACCGUGAAACAGAUGAACACUCCGCCCUGAAUCCCUAUCUAGUUGUGUGGGUUCACCUUCAGCAGAACAUCAACAUGCCUUUCUCAUCGCGGCUUAUUUUAAAGGAACAUUUUAAUGCUCACAAUAUGUUGUUCCUAAGAAGAAUGCAUGAACUACAGUGUCAAUCCUUUGAUUCAGGAAACCAAAACAGUGUAGAAAUACUUCAUCUUUUGCUUUGUUGCUAGCAACCACUCAGCACAUAAAGCAUGAAACCAGUAAUCGUGAUACCAAAACAGUGUAGAAAUACUUCAUCUUUUGCUUUUUUGCUAGCAACCACUCAGCACAUAAAACAUGAAACCAGUAAUCGUUCCAUUAUCCCAAUGUACUCUAUACAUUUGCUUCUUCGUUUGUUACUAAAUUCUGCUCUGAUCAAACAAUGCAUUUCUUGUGUUACCGAAUUGCAGGGCCGUUUCAUAAAGGAACAUGAGGAUAUCAAGCUCCAGCCCACAUAGCCCCCCUGGCUUCUUCCAUCACCACAAGGAUAGCCCGUGUAUAUACGGUUAGUUGCCUUGUUGUCUUAUCCCAGUUAUUCUGUAUCCUCUACCCUGGGCAAGUUGCAAGCUUCAGGUGUAGAUCAGUAGAGGCAAAGUCAUAUUUCGUAGGAUGAAAAUAACAGAACUUAAAAGAUUGACCCAUGAGGUCAGUGAUCCAAGGCGAUCUGUUCGUCGUUUCUUGAUCUAUCGUUUGGAUUACUUGUUUGCAAACUGUGAACAAGGGCAAUGUUCAGUUGGCCACAAUUAGACUUUCCUCUCAGGAAGGGUUUGAGAAUUUGAUGUCUGAGCCAUCUGAUUAGAACAAAAAUGGUCUGUGUUUCUCAUAUCGAUAUCACAGCAUACGGGUACUUAGCACCCAGAUUAAAUGGUUUAUACCAACAGUCGCUGAAUCAUGUAGUGUCUUGCAAAAUACUGGUGCCUGUUACCGCUGGGUAUUUUCUAGAGCUACUUCUGGUUUUGCAUGAAGAGUCUGUUCAUCGUUGCAUCUUGCAUUUCCAAAGGAUCAGGCUAUCAGUUCUGAUUUGUCGAAAAUGACAAGUGAAAUUCUGGCAACAACUCAACUUUCCUCUUAAGCAAGCAAGGAUCCAGCUGAGAUUUGAGCUGUCUGGUUAGUGGAAAACAGAUACCUGUUCUUGGAUUUAUAUAACGAGAGAUGGAUAAUUUCUCCAGAACUUGAGAUGUCAAAGACAUGUGUAAUAAGUUAAACUGCCGUAUGCGGAUCUUGUAGUAGAACAGUAAAAAAGUGUAUUGGGGAAUGCAAGUGCAUGUGAAUUCAGCACCGGACCUGAUGGAGAGGGAUCGGUCGGUCGGUCCACUCCGGCGUGCCGUUCUGCUGCGCCUGCUGGAGUCAGGGUACGAUCAGUCAUGUGUGUGAGGCCGUCCCGGGGCAGCGAGGCCAACCUGUCAGCCAGCGUUGUCGUGAACAUGGACUGGGGCCACCUGUAGUUGUCUUGUUCCUUUUGGCUGCCACGUGGGCUGCUGGGCUGGGCGCGAGCGUCGGUGCCGGCUCGGAGAUCGUUGGGCCGCGAUUGCGACUUGGACCACCGGACGCGGGUUCGGGAAUUUUUAUAUUUUUUUUAUUUUGCAAAAAUAUAUAUCCUAAUAAAAUUUUUUUACAAAUCUAUAGCUAUACCGCAGUUUGAAAUGGCUAUAGCCAAAUGAAACGGCGGAAGGUGCACUGUAGUAACUUUUGCAUUUCCCUCCUCUGGGCAGUACACUUUCAAAUAAUUAAAUUUUAGAUCCGAAACUUUUAUCAAUUAUUUGAGCACCAACAUGGAUCAAAUAAAAAAUGUUUAAAGAGCUACAAUUUUCAUAUAAAGCUUAUCUCCAUCCGAGUUCAUAUGAGUGUGCUGCAAAGAGAAGUACAUUCCGCCGGUUCAACUGGCAGCUGUUUCGAACGGUGGUAUAGUUAUAGAUCUGUAUUUUUUUAUUAGGACAUAUUUUUGUAAAAUACUAAAAUAAAAAAUAAAAAAUAAAAAAAAUCCGGGUUCGGCCGUGUCCGAUGAGCAGCGGCGUCCGAGGUCAAUUGAUGUGCGUGUGCCACGCCGGAGAAGAUUUUACUGCUAGACUUUCAACUUUCAUCACUGUGAAAAAAGAAAGGGUAGAAUUCAACUCUGCUUUGACCUGUGAAUUUGCUGUGUCUGUACGAACUGAACCAGUUAAUCUAAAACCACAGCAAAAAUAUUUGUAGAAUUCAUAGGAUUUUCCUUUUUUUGAAAAGGGACUUCAUAGGUUCGUAGCAGGCCUGGCAGCUACAUAACGUUCGUGGCGUUAUCCAGCAAUUUGUUACGCUCGUGGACCUUCCUCGUACAUCUCUUUUGGCAUUGGCGAUGGCCCAUUGUUGGGGGAACGAGAGCGAGCAGGCCCAAUCUAUUAAGUGAAACACGGCCUCGAUGGGCCUCAUGUUGAAUACAUAUAGAAUGAGGCCCACGAUUUCUGAACUCUCUAUCCAACCCAGAUUUGCAGCGUAUGACCGUGGCGACUAUGGGCUUGAUCGGUUUCCUUCUCUGCUGAGCCUGGCUCGUUUCCAGUAACCAGGCCCCCGCUAGCCUGGCUGAGCUGAUGCGAGGGAGCUUUGAUUGGAUAGCAGCUUGCAUGCAUCCUAGCUAGACAGAGCCGCUGUUCGGUUGCUUUGAUUGCAGCACGCGCAUACUAGUUUUAACCGCCGUGCAUGCACCCACGCCGCGGGAGCCUGGCUCCGUGGAAACGAAGGAUCUGGCCGCUCCCGGGAGUCAGGCUCCAAGCGCCCUUUUGCCGCCCCGGGAGUCAAGGCUCCAAGCGCCCCUUUGCAUGCUGCGGGUCAGGUCCAGCAACAAGCUCAGGAAAUCAUUAGCCUGCGACACAUUCUGAUCCUCAAAAUAGGAAAUCAUUUCUCCCUCGACCCCGAUCGCCUCUCCUGUGUGCUGCCACCCCCCGACUCCUUCUCCCAUCGACUCCUCGAGCGCUGCGCCAUGGCCCCCUCCUCCACUUCCUAGUGCCCCCUCCUCCGCCGCCCCCUCUUCCUCUUCGUGCUACGGAAUCCUCCCUACAGCAUGGCAGCUAGGGUUUCCUAGUGCCGAGCCGUUCUCCUCCUGCUGCCGGAGCCAAGGCCAGGCGCGGCGAAGAAGACAACGUCAAGCAUCACCAAGGCCAGGCGCGGCGAAGAAGACAACAUCAAGCAUCACCAAGGCCAGGCGCAGUGAAGAAGGUGACGCUGAGGAGCUCCAGGGGCGGGCGUGGCGAGGAAGGCGGCGUCGAGGAUCUCCAGAGCCAGCGGCCCCAUCUACCUCGCCGCCAUCCUCGAGUACCUUGACGCUGAGGUUCGUGCAACAUCUAUUCUCCUCCCUGAUUGCACUUCGCUCUUACUAUUUGUGCCUUAAUCUGGUUGUAGCAUGUUGUCUGAUUUGAAUGUCUAACAACAAUGGAGACUUCAUUUGAAUGUCUAACAACUCCAUGUGUUAGAGAGAGAGCUAUGCUAGUAGCAUGUUGUUCCAUUUGAAUUUCUAAUCAACCAAACCAUAUUUGGAAUCUAAUUCUAAGAAUUAGUUUCUUUGUACAUCCAAAUAAGAAAAUUGAAAUGAAUCUGAUUCUAUGUAAUUUAAUUCCUAUUGAAUCCAAUUGCUAGAAUGAGAUUCAAUUCUGACGAAACAAACACGCCUUAGGUAUAUGCACUUUGAAAACAGCAAAAGCAAAAUGUCUCCAUUGAGAAUAGACUUAGUGAUACCACUAAAGCUAAUUAAUUUCAUGGACCAUCUUCAAGGAUUUCUUUAAUUACUUUUAUUUAGGUUUCAUGUGUAUAUAAGACGAAGAAGAGUCAUGGAAGAGCUAUCAACAAAUGAUUAAGUUGUCUUAUUUUGAUCUCGUUGAGAAACUAGCGGAAAAUAUAUAACAGAUAGCCGUGUUAUUGUGUACAUGCUAAAAGAUAGUUGAUUUGGCAAAGUUUGAGUGGACUUUAGUGGCGAGAAGAGAAGUUUUUUGUUCUUGGAAUGCGUCCCUUAGGGCUUACAGGAUGCCUAGCACGAUCUCACCUUGGUUAUUGAGCUGGGCCGCAUGCAGGUUGGGAUGUGAUCAGUCGCAAGUCCCUCUGCAGUACGGUGGAGAGAAGAGGCUUGUCGGCAGGAGAAGAGGUUCCUUUUAACUUUGAGCUUCUACCUUUGAGUCACUAUCAUGCGAGCCUCCUUGCAUUUGAGCUCACAUGGCAUUAACUCAAAAGCAGAGGGAUCAAUCGUUCCGUCAGCACAAUACUCUUGAGGACAAACUGGAGGCUCAUUGCGUUCUUGUCUCUCUGGUAUUUGUAGUGCCUAGUCAGAGUUGAAUUAUCGUGCUAAGGUUACAUUUAUGCCGAUGUAUUCAUAGAGCCAUGUUUGAGACAUCAUCAAGUGCUGCAUUAGUAGAAUUGUGACAUCCGCGGAAGGAAUAACCUGAAACGUUCAACAAUUUAAUCUGGGGCAUGGCAUGGGUUGGAAGCUUUUGAUUUGGUUAUUGUCACGAUUAAUAGAUGGAUGAAUUGAAAUGAUCAUGCAUGUCUACCAAUGCAAACUGAUGGUGUCUUCUAUUUUCCUCAAGAAAUCGUAGUUGAUCUUGGUAGAAACUUUGCAUCGAAGUGCCCGAGUGGAGUAGGCAUUUUGACUAUUGAUGUGGUCGGGGGUAAGUGCCACGUUAGACUGGAGACAAAAUGGAAUGACGUAGGCCCAAACUGGCACUGUGUCCUUCCUUGAAACAGCUAGAAAUUUAGAAUUUCUCUAGUUCGUGUUCAAAUCACUUCGUAGCACGGCACUAGAGCUUCUGUGAAGUAUUUUUUUAGUGAACAGAAAGAAUAUGGUCCAGCAACUAGCAAAGAAUUCAUGACUUUGUAGCAUGGUACUAUUAGCUUGUGUGAACUAUUUGGUGAAGAUGUUGCGCGCGACGCCCUGGCAGCAACUAGCAAAAGGUGGUGGUUGGGUUGAGAACGAGCACGGGACGGAGCGAGCCACCUUCCGCGUACAGCGACGCCGGAUUUACGAUCGAGACCGUCACACCGGCGUGCCCUGCAGUGAGCCGAAGACGUCGGAUCCAGUCCAUGAUGCUCUACCCCCAGCCUGACCAGCACCCUUUGCCCCCCAAAUCAAAGCUAGGGAUGACUGGGCACCGCCACAUUGCCCGACGAAGCAUGCCCGGAGCGGCACCUAAUUAACCUGCUCUCGUCCCCCGAAUGCAUCCGGUACGGGACUAAAACGCCGUUGCAUUGUCAAGGGGAGGAGUAGCGGGAUGUGUACGCGAAGAGGUUGUCGUGACAGCUGCCGUCUCGCGUGGUCGUCCGAACGUGUGGAAGGGAUCAGGGAAGCGUGGUCGCACGCGCAGAGCUGUUACGGGUUCCCCUGUGAGGCGAGCGCCCUCGUCCUAGAGCUGCCGUUUUGCCGAGCGAGGACGACCAGCUGGCAGCUGUACGGAAUGGACGCUGCUAGCUGCUGGUACCACCCGCCAUGGUAGCUUUCCCCCUUGGCAUGCACGUACGGAAUGGACGCCGCUAGCUGCUGGUACCACCCGUCGGCCGGAGACUAUCCAGGCCCUUGGGGCAUGCAAGUGGCCAGCACGUACUCCAACACUCGAUUCUUCAGAAAAUCUGUAGGCUGUAUCAGCCGACACUCAAGUUGCUGAUAUGGCUUCAUCAAAUCAUCAUGCAACAUGCAUGCUGCUGUUUCUCUUGGGUGUCAAAUUGGCAAUGCAACUUGUUCAAUCGCCGGUGGAUGCAAGUGCAUCAGUUUCAAUAACACUUGAACCACAAUCGCCACUGCUUUACUCGUGCUCUGCGUUCCAGAAAAGAAGACAGGUUCAGGCCGAGGUCAAGUUGACUACGAGCGAACUUUAAACAUUUUUAAACCAUCCACUUUGUUUAUGGAUAAUUUUAUUCUUUAUUUUUAUUUUCAUACAACUGACGAUAUAGUGUAGCGUCAUACACUCGCAUGCGCUGCUCUGCUCACAGCCGGCGUACUUCUCUCAUCUACGGUCUAGCUGGCACACGUACGCAGAUGACGCGGCGGCGUCGUGAGCUCGAUCGGUGCGGGCGGCGAUGGAUCCAAAGCCCGUGACGCCGCACGCCAGUUGCUACGAGCCAGCUCCCGUCCAGGCCCCCACGCGGCGCGCGCACCACUGUCUUGGCGUACCGCGCACGCACACGCACACGCCAGGACGGCACCAUCUCCGACUCCAGUUCUGUUUUGCACGACAAGGGAUCGACGCCGUGCGCAAGCGCCGCAGUUUGGUUAAUUUUGUCCCACACCGGGCGACCUCGAGCGACAGGAACACCUCAAAUGGCGUGCCGCUGCGCCGAGAGGUCGCCGGGCCUCGUCGCGGUGGCCCACGUCAUUCCAAGCGGAGGCAAAGGUGAUGGCUCGGCGGGGGCAUUGCACCAUGUACCGGAACCGACACCCACCCUGCAGGUCCAAACGAUGUGACGGUCAAGGAGAAGCGGAGCUGGUGUGACGGUGACGACCGUAAAUCCGGCAGCCGUGAGGGCCAAGAUCGUAAAUCCGUAUGAUCCUGCACUAAGUGGGAUGGCUCGCUCCGUAUCCGUGCUGUGCACUCUAAAGAACCACCACCUUUUGUUCACCGUUGCAAAAUCAUUAUUUUGUAAUUUUAACAUUCUUUUAUACUUACAAUUAUACAUUUUUUAAACACAAAUAUUUC
RNAcentral lists this long non-coding RNA (12771 nucleotides) under Setaria viridis. Its description in RNAcentral is "long non-coding RNA (SVIR_LNC006408)". Lineage: Eukaryota; Viridiplantae; Streptophyta; Magnoliopsida; Poales; Poaceae. The record is from RNAcentral.